Molecule: ribosomal RNA, 253 nt
Filed under: uncultured bacterium
Lineage: Bacteria
Description: partial 16S ribosomal RNA
Rfam family: Bacterial small subunit ribosomal RNA
Source: RNAcentral
UACGAAGGGAGCUAGCGUUGUUCGGAAUCACUGGGCGUAAAGCGCACGUAGGCGGAUGUGUCAGUCAGGGGUGAAAUCCCGGAGCUCAACUUCGGAACUGCCUUUGAUACAGCACGUCUUGAGUCCGAUAGAGGUGGGUGGAAUUCCUAGUGUAGAGGUGAAAUUCGUAGAUAUUAGGAAGAACACCGGUGGCGAAGGCGGCGUCCUGGACCAACACUGACACUGAGGAGCGAAAGCCAGGGGAGCAAACGGG